AGCGCCAUGGUUCAGCUGGCCAAAGUGCCUGUCUACUAAACAGGAGAUCCUGGAUUCGACUUCCAGUGGUGCCU
Molecule: transfer RNA, 74 nt
Filed under: Corvus brachyrhynchos (American crow)
Lineage: Eukaryota; Metazoa; Chordata; Aves; Passeriformes; Corvidae
Rfam family: tRNA
About the family: Transfer RNA (tRNA) molecules are approximately 80 nucleotides in length. Their secondary structure includes four short double-helical elements and three loops (D, anti-codon, and T loops).
Source: Rfam by way of RNAcentral